GGGAAUAGUUAAAUUCAGAAUUCUAGCUUUGGGAGCUAGGGGUAAGAGUUAAAAUCUCUUUUCUUUGAGCA
This 71-nucleotide transfer RNA is filed under the name Chaeturichthys stigmatias (finespot goby). Its description in RNAcentral is "tRNA-Pro". It matches the Rfam family "tRNA". From Rfam's summary of the family: Transfer RNA (tRNA) molecules are approximately 80 nucleotides in length. The record is from RNAcentral. Lineage: Eukaryota; Metazoa; Chordata; Actinopteri; Gobiiformes; Gobiidae.